Molecule: non-coding RNA, 76 nt
Organism: Dallia pectoralis (Alaska blackfish)
Lineage: Eukaryota; Metazoa; Chordata; Actinopteri; Esociformes; Umbridae
Source: the annotation of a GenBank genome assembly
GUUGGUGUAGCUCAGUGGUAGAGUGCAUGCUUGGUAUGUACGUAUAAUGUCCUGGGUUUAAUCCCAAGCUUCUCCC